RNAcentral lists this long non-coding RNA (7992 nucleotides) under Populus tremula. RNAcentral describes it as "long non-coding RNA (PTRE_LNC001574)". Lineage: Eukaryota; Viridiplantae; Streptophyta; Magnoliopsida; Malpighiales; Salicaceae. The record is from RNAcentral.
UAAAAUCAAACCAUUUUAUUGAUAUAUUAUAAUUUAGAGCUAGUGCUCCAAUUUUAUUUUAUUUUUUCCUUUUUAGUCACAGCCACCGGGGGCAAACCCAAUCCUUUCCUUCGCACCAUCAAAGACUAUAGUGUAAGUCUUUUGCUGAAAAUUCCCAAAGAUAGAAACUUCGUCAUCCAAUUCUGCAAAUGCCAAGCAGUACACCUUGCUCCCUGGUGGAUGUUGCACCAUGAUCCCCGAAACAUCGAUAUCCAUCUCUACGCCACCUUCGAAGAACACACUAAUCGAAGGUAUUGCAACCGUGCUAUAAUUACUGAAGUCAUAGCAUGUGUCUAGAAAGAUAUCUUGGGCCGACAAAGGAUAACCUUUCAACAUUUCUCGGAACACCGACCUCAGUGUCGAGUAUGCCUUCGGAGGCAGCCGAGUGAGCACUGUACCGGAGUCGAUGGCGCUAGCAAUCUUAAAAGCCGAUGCAUCUAUUAAUAGUUUACGGCCUCCAACACUAAUUCCAGUCAUUUUGAUGUCGUAGUCCGAGGAUGGCGCUGUUUUAGAUACUGGGGAGAAUCUCACAUCGUUCGACACUUUGCCGCCGAAAGUAAGAUGACCAGUUGAGCCAGGAGUUGACGGUAUACAAUAAGAGAAGAGUUUGUUGUAUAUAUUAGCAGUUUGUGAUGCAAAAGAUAUAGGCUCGCGGUUUAGUCCCAUUAUACCAGAUUCUCCAUCUGAAUCACCAGAUACUUGAUCGCUGCAUCCAAUCAAAACGUUCUUGAAGUCGUACUGUAAAUGGCUGAAGGAUAUUGUUUCGGUGGCCAAAGUUCCUGUGGAGCUGCUGUUGUCUACAUAUGCACUUUUGUAGGUGCACUUCGAAGAGGAGCAUCCUGUAUCCGCAACAUUGAAAAUACAUGUCUUGAAAUUUUAUUUUUUAAAAGGUUUAAUUUAUCUCAUUUUUGUGUCAAUAAUAUUGUUAAUUAGCCAAUCAAAACUUUUAAUGCAUGUCAAAAUAAUAAUAUUUACCUUGCCCGAUUGCUUGGCAUAGCUUUGAGGAACAUGGAAGGCCUUUGAAUGAAGCUGACUUGGUUGGAUCGAACACAGGCACUUUUGGAUAGCAAGCCUUGCAUGGCUUACAUUGAGUCCAAAUGAGACCACUGCCUGUGUCGAAUAUAAGUGGCAUUUCCUUCUUGGGCGUACCGAUUCCAACGUUUACAAUAUAGUCACUUGCAGUGAUUUUGGGUAGACCAUAGAACGGGACACUACUCUUCAUGUGCUCACCACUGCUGGUCAAGUUCACUGAACGCCGGGCCUGAAUAAUUGAGUCCACUCGAAGUUUGUCUCGACGGAGGAUAUCGUUGACGGAUGAUGCUGGAGCAGUUGAUGUUCUGUGUGGAUUGCAUGGACCGAACCUGUGUACUAACUUUAGGGAUGAUGAACCCUUGUUGACAGCUGAAACACAAAGCAAUUACCUUAAGAACACAUCAAGGGCAAUCCUCUCCCUCUACAUUGUGCUUCACAGUCCCAAAUAAAAUGCGAACAAUUUCUUCAAAAAUAGUAGUAAGAAGAAGGUCAUGUUGUUAAUUAAUUUUUGAAUCAAGAACUAUAAUACCUUUGGAAGAUUCCUUGCAGACUUCUGAUGGUGGGAGAGAAUUGAUUUUGAGAGUAUGAAAAUAUUCUCUCGUUCCUUCAUCGGCAGUGUCCUUCAAAGAGUUGCAAGGGGAAAGAAGAAGAAAACCAUAAAUCACAAAAGAAAGUAGUGAUUUAGAAGACAUGGGGGCGCCAAUGGGAGACAAAUAUUCUUCUCUUAAACAAUUAUUAUGCUUCUCUCGAAGUAGGUAGAGCUAUUUAUACAUGCACAACGAGUUAAUUUACAAUAUUCUAAAUGGCACAAUGUACUGUGGCAUAAUGGCACAAUUAUUAGUUACAAUGUACUGUGGCAUAAUGGCACAAUUAUUAUGCACAAUGUACUGUGGCCGGACAAUUAUUAUGCACAAUGUACUGUGGCCACAAAAAAUGUGCUAGAAUUAUAAUAGUAAUUUACAGUAUAUUUUUUUUAUUUUUUAUUUUUUAAAAUUAUUUUUAUUAAUUUUAUUUUUUAAAUAUUGAUCUGAUUAAAAAAAUAUUUAUAAAUUAUUUUUAAAAUAGUGUGAUUACUGCAGUGUUUUUCCACAUAGUUUUUAUAUUUUAUUUUUUAAAAUUAUAUUUGUUGAUUUUUUUUUAAUAUUGAACUGAUUGAGAAUUUAGUUUUGUAAUUUUUUUUCUUUAAAGUAUUAUUGAUUGUUAUAAUGUUUUUCUGUAUAUAUUUUUUUUAUGAUUUUAUUAAAAAUUAUCUUUUUUUAUUUUAUUUUUUAAUAUUUAACUGGUUAAAAAUAAUAACAAAAAAAAGCAUUAUAACUUUCCUUGAAUAUUACUGUGGAUUUUAUACGCGAGUAGCAUAUCCCAAGUGUGCCUGGCACUUGCUGGAAAUAGUGAUGCAACUGACGUGUUCAUUUUCGGAAAUGUUCAGCAAAAAACACUAUGUUCAUAUAAUUUCAUUUCAAAUUAGCUUGCUUAAAGAACAGUUGCACGUGUUGUAAUUUAAUCACUGGGAUUAAAUCGAAAGGGCUGAAAUGAAGGAUUAUAAUUUCAUUUAAAAUGAUAAAUAUGAAAAAUAUUUUUGACUAUGUUCAUAUAAUUUCAUUGAAAGGGCUGAAAUGAAGGACUAUAAUUUCAUCACUGUGAUAGAGUCCGUGUAAGUUAACCGUGAAUUAUAAUAGUAAUAUUUUUUUUAUUCUUUAUUUUUUUUUCUAUCUUGAUCGUCCUACUUUCUUUUUUCUUUUAAUUUCUAAAAAAAAAAAACUAGUACUUUAUAUACAAUCUUCCAUAGACGAAUUUCAUCAAGGUUAGGAGGCCCGCGGCUUGGAUUAAGCCGGCUAUUGAGCUGAUGAAAUGGAAUAGAUAUGGGUCCUCUUUUGGGAAGCCUGAAAGAUCAGGUAUUGGUGGAGUCUCGAGCGAUUCGUUAUAUGAAUUUGUUUUUAUUUUCUCGAACUUCAAAAGCAGUAUAGCAGUUUUAACAUUAUUUGUCUCUAGAGAGAUUAAAGUAGUAUAGCACUAAACUAGUUUUACUCAACCGUGAUAUAUUACUGGUCAAAUCAAUAUUUUUACAAAUUAACAAAAAUUACAGAUUAUAUUUUUACAGUUUUGUUUUUUUUAUUACUAUUAUUAUUGGCUCUAGUGUUCCUUUUCUUUUAAUAAAGACUCCAUUUUCAUCUUAAAAAUAUAAAAACUAAACUUUCCCACAAUAAUAAAAUAUAUAAUAAAAAAAAAUAUAGUUGAAAUCCAUUGAAACUCCCAAGAAAAAUAAAAAUAAAAAUCCAAAACUUAAACAAACAUGUUGUGCCCAGCACUAGUUUGCACAGGUACACAAGCAUAUAAUUAGUGUAAAGGAACACUUAACAUAGUUUUUUUUUUAUAUAUAUAUAUAAAAAAUAGCCACAUUUUUUUAAAGAAAGUAAUAAUUGUAAGAUUUUUUUUUUAUUAUUAUUAUGUUUUCUCACUCCUCUCCUCAUUUUAAUUUGUGAAGAGAAAAAAGAGAAAAAAAUGAUAAAAAAUACCCCAAAGAUACAUUGAAGUUUCGACACCAUUAAUACCAUAAAAUAAAUUUUGAUAAAAUAAAUAUAAUAAUAUUAUGAAUAGUCACUAAUAAUGACUCGAGUAGUUCAUACUUGUCAUCAAAGACAAGUGAAGCACCCAUCACCUUUUGACAGCAAAUGUAACAUGCUUAAAAUAUAGUUAGUGAUUUUUUUUAUAUCAUUAGAUUUGUUUUUAUUAAUAUAUAAAAAUGUUAUUAGAUUUAUUUCAUUAAUAUAUUUUUUAUUCUACCAAUUGUAUUUUUAUUGAAGCUUUGAUGUGUUUUUAAAGUUUUUUUUUUUUCUGUUCAAGUGUUCAAUUUUUUUUAAAAUGUCGUUAUUUGUAAUAACAACAAACUUAAAUUUAGUAUUUAUUAAUCCUAACAUAUACAUGUUAUUUCACAAAUUGCUUUUCAAACUAUGUUAUUUGUUAAUAUUUUUCUUUUUAAAAAGUGCUAAUUAACAAGAUAGGACGGAAUUUUUGGGUAUAUGUGUAGCACAUGGAAUUAAAAGGAAAAUGGUUCCGGGAAACAGAAAAGAAUGCAACGAAUAGAGCACCAGCUAUUCAUCUCUUUCUUUCGAUUUUUCCUUUGGGUGGAAGAAAAACCAGCUCAUAGCUCAUGAUGGGUACAACUAAAAAAGAUCCCACUUUGAGCUAAAUUGUAAAAAGCUUCUUGAGCUUGAUUGAAAAAACAAAUCUUUGAUGUUUCAUCUUAAAUAUCAUGGUCUUCUUAAUAUGUCUCUCUAUUAGAGUUUUAUCGAGAAAUUUAAGAGGAAAAAAACCCUUAAAAAUCAUUUCAAUUCUUUUUCUUUAGCUGUGAAUAUAUUUUCUUAAGUCGGUGGAGGAAAAAAAAGGGAAAUGGUAGGAUUUCUAUGGGGUUUUUUCUUCAAGUUCUCUGAUAAAGGAUCGUAUUCAAAAAAUCAUAUUGUUUAGGAUAAAGAUCAGAGAUGUUUUAGUUCGAGAGGGGAAUAUUUUUUUAAUUUAGCCUUAAUUUCACUUGAAGUUAAAAAAAUUAUGCAAUAUUUCACUUUUUGGCAAAUGAAAUGGAUAAAGGAAGGAAGUUUUGGGGAUAUGUGUAGCUCGUGGAAUUAAAAGGAAAAGAGGAAACAUGACUGGACAGGAUAUUUCUUUAGCAAGCUUUUGGUCAAUUAUAUGUUGCCGUAGUAGGGUUGUUAAUUCCGUUUUGCUUCAUUUAAAACGGUGAAAAUAUUUAAUAUUAAUUAAAAAAAUAGAAUACAAUACAAUAAUUUUUAUCUCAUUUUAUAUCUUGAUUAGUUUUAGAUUUUUCAAAUAAAUUUUAGUUGGAAUGUUCGGUUUCAUUUUAUAUGCUUCGUUUCGGGUUUGAAAAGCCAUUAAAUUAAAUUGAUAUUUUGUUUAAGUUGAAUUACUUUAAGUUAAAAUUCUAUUUAAUUUUAACUAUUUAGAAAUAUUUUAAAAUUUUAAAUUAUAUUUGUUUGAUAUUGUAUUUGUAUUGCAUAAUUUAUAAUUAAUUUAUUUUAAAUUUGAAUUAUAUUUGUUGAUUCCAAAACGACACCGAAAUGGUUCAAAAUCAAAAUAUUUCAUUUUAAUUAAAAAAAAUAUUUAACAUCUAUUAAAACAAAAUUGGUAACCUUGAGCCAUAUAGGCUUGUGAGUGGUGGUCAGGUAGCUUGCAGAUGAGUUGAAUUAAUUGUUAAUUUGACAUGUAAGAUUAAUUGGUUUUUGUGUUUAAGAUUUGUUUUUUAAAAGAUUGAUUUUUUUUUAUUUUAAAUUAAUUUUUUUUUAUGUUUUUACUUAGUUUUGAUAUAAAAAAUAAAUUUAGAAAAAAUAAAAAAAAUUAUUUCAAAUAAAAAAUAUUUUUAAAAAAAUCUUAACUAUAAUACCAAACAAGCUAUUAGUUGAAUUAAAAAAAUAUAUUACAUCUUCAACUCCAUUGAAUACAUUAAUGAAAACAUAGUGAUUGAGUUGAGGAAACAUAAUCAAUCACCCGAAAUAGAAUUGGUGGCAUUGCUAGGAGGUGAGAAGUGUAGCAUCUUCUUCACUUCACUUUUUAUGAUGGAUAAAAAGAGAACACACCCAUGUAGACAUUCUUUGAGAAAAAAAAAAUCAAUCUUGUUUUGAUUAAAAAAAAAUCAGUUAUUUAUAGGUUGACCGAUAAUUGAGUGAUUUAAGUUUUUGAUUAAGUUUUUUUUAUUGAUUCGUACUCCAGACUUGGUUCAACAUCUAUGUUUUCUACUAUUUAAUUUAAUUUAUUUACUUAACAAAUGUACAUAUUUACUAUUUUUGAAUACCAAUUUCUUUUGUUUUAGAGAAUAUUAAUUUUAAUAAAAUUAAAAGGUUUGUCAGUGAAUGUAUUAAGAGAAUAGCAAAAAGAAAAUAUAAAAACAAACCAUUUUAUUGAUAUAUUAUAAUUUAGAGCUAGUGCUCCAAUUUUUUUUUUUUUUCUUUCUUUUUAGUCACAGCCACCGGGGGCAAACCCAAUCCUUUCCUUCGCACCAUCAAAGACUAUAGUGUAAGUCUUUUGCUGAAAAUUCCCAAAGAUAGAAACUUCGUAAUCCAAUUCUGCAAAUGCCAAGCAGUACACCUUGCUCCCUGGUGGAUGUUGCAACAUGAUCCCCGAAACAUCGAUAUCCAUCUCUACGCCACCUUCGAAGAACACACUAAUCGAGGUAUUGCAACCGUGCUAUAAUUACUGAAGUCAUAGCAUGUGUCUAGAAAGAUAUCUUGGGCCGACAAAGGAUAACCUUUCAACAUUUCUCGGAACACCGACCUCAGUGUCGAGUAUGCCUUCGGAGGCAGCUGAGUGAGCACUGCACCGGAGUCGAUGGCGCUAGCAAUCUUAAAAGCCGAUGCAUCUAUUAAUAGUUUACGGCCUCCAACACUAAUUCCAGUCAUUUUGAUGUCGUAGUCAGAGGAUGGCGCUGUUUUAGAUACUGGGGAGAAUCUCACAUCGUUCGACACUUUGAGCUAAAUUGUAAAAAGCUUCUUGAGCUUGAUUGAAAAAACAAAUCUUUGAUGUUUCAUCUUAAAUAUCAUGGUCUUCUUAAUAUGUCUCUCUAUUAGAGUUUUCUCGAGAAAUUUAAGAGGAAAAAACCCCUUAAAAAUCAUUUCAAUUCUUUUUCUUUAGCUGUGAAUAUAUUUUCUUAAGUCGGUAGAGGAAAAAAAAAGGGAAAUGGUAGGAUUUCUAUGGGGUUUUUUCUUCAAGUUCUCUGAUAAAGGAUCGUAUUCAAAAAAUCAUAUUGUUUAGGAUAAAGAUCAGAGAUGUUUUAGUUCGAGAGGGGUAUAUUUUUUUAAUUUAGCCUUAAUUUCACUUGAAGUUAAAAAAAUUAUGCAAUAUUUCACUUUUUGGCAAAUGAAAUGGACAAAGAAAGGAAGUUUUGGGGAUAUGUGAAGCUCAUGGAAUUAAAAGGAAAAGAGGAAACAUGACUGGACAGGAUAUUUCUUUAGCAAGCUUUUGGUCAAUUAUAUGUUGCCGUAGUAGGGUUGUUAAUUCCGUUUUGCUUCAUUUAAAACGGUGAAAUAUUUAAUAUUAAUUUAAAAAAUAAAAUAAAAUAGAAUAAUUUUUAUUUCAUUUUAUAUCUUAAUCAGUUUUAGAUUUUUCGAAUAAAUUUCAGCUGGAAUGUUCCGGUUUCAUUUUAUAUGUUUCGUUUCAGGCUUGAAAAGCCAUUAAAUCAAAUUGGUAUUUUGUUUAAGUUGAAUUAUUUUAAGUUAAAAUUCUAUUUAAUCUUAACUAUUUAGAAAUAUUUUAAAUUUUAAAAUUAUAUUUGUUUGAUAUUGUAUUUGUAUUACAUAAUUUAUAAUUAAUUUAUUUUAAAUUUGAAUUAUAUUUGUUGAUUCCAAAACGACACCAAAAUGGUUCAAAAUCAAAAUAUUUCAUUUUAAUUGAAAAAAAUAUUUAACAUCUAUUAAAACAAAAUUGGUAACCUUGAGCCAUAUAGGCUUGUGAGUGGUGGUCAGGUAGCUUGCAGAUGAGUUGAAUUAAUUGUUAAUUUGACAUGUAAGAUUAAUUUGUUUUUGUGUUUAAGAUUUGUUUUUUAAAAGAUUGAAAUUUUUUAUUUUAAAUUAAUUUUUUUAUGUUUUUACUUAGUUUUGAUAUAAAAAAUAAAUUUAAAAAAAUUAAAAAAAACUAUUUCAAUUUAUUUUCAAAUAAAAAAUUUCAAUCUUUUAAAAAACAAAUCUUUUAAUAGUUUACGGCCUCCAACACUAAUUCCAGUCAUUUUGAUGUCGUAGUCCGAGGAUGGCGCUGUUUUAGAUACUGGGGAGAAUCUCACAUCGUUCGACACUUUGCCGCCGAAAGUAAGAUGAUCAGUUGAGCCAGGAGUUGAAGGUAUACAAUAAGAGAAGAGUUUGUUGUAUAUAUUAGCAGUUUGUGAUGCAAAAGAUAUAGGCUCGCGGUUUAGUCCCAUUAUACCAG